CUAGUCUGCUGUUUGAUUGUAAUAAGGCAUGAACUGAUGAGUAGCAGAUGAAGAAUGAACAGACUAGAUGAGGGUAUCGUUCCCUUCAUAUCUCAUGCAGAAACACUAAAAUAUCAGGAUCAGUGCAGCUGCAGGAACAAGUGUGUCAAUCUUUUGCUCCCUUCAACUUACGCCCCAAAAAAGGAAAAACUAAGACAAACAGUACCAUGAAAACAUUGACUGUGCAGGUCGAAACAUGAUGUGAACCUUGGAUUUAAUGAGAGCUUGAGUGUUUGGCAGCAGUAGCCUCCAGCAGACAGGAUCAGGAGGAACUUCACACACAUGUAGACACUUCCUAAGACCUGCGCUUUGACCUGUGGUCACCGGGAUCCAUGCGUGACAGCUUGGAAGAACAAUGGGAAAGUUUAAUAAGAGAAAAUACGAUGCAGAAUCGAGGGCUGUAGAGUCGUCAGAGAUAACACAUCAACUGAGGAGAGCUCGGAGGAAGAGGAAACCCAUGAAGAGGAAGAGGAAAGAGAAUCAGGUUGACAUCUGAUCACUCUAUAUAAUCUUUUCUGGUGAACUAGAAAGCACGCUGAUGCUUAAUAAUCUACUAGAAUAUUAGUAAUGCAUCUGAACAGUAAUGUAUCUUGCAGUUUUACUUGGUAUGUUUUGUCGUAUGUCUGAACAAAACCUGAGUGCCUCUAUCUUUUAAACAGAAGAUGAAUUGCACUGAAAGCCUAAGAUACAGUAAGAAUCACAGUAACGGACAACAAGAGACUGUAGUAUCAUUUUAUUUUAAGAUGAAGCUUUCAGCGGUCAGUCUUAUUGAUCUUGAGUGAAGGAUAAAACAUAAUGCUACAUUUUCACGCUUUUCCAGACUCCGACACGAGACCCAGAGCAGAACAUCACAGUGACGAGCAGCGUCAGGCCAGCUGUGAGAAGUGUAAAGCUCUGAAGAAUCCCAAAUAUGAGCUGGUCACCCCCAGGAAAUUGUCUCAAGAUCGGCUACAGUAGGUUCUUGUUCUCCGUACUGUACAUAUGUCCUCAGCGCAGUAGCGUGAUCAGUCACAUCUGACUCUGCGGUCUAAACCUGACUAGUCUAAAAUUCUUCUCUGCACUGCCAGGUUUAUAAAAAUGUCAAAUGUGUCAUUUCUGCUGCAUGGUAUUAUUCCCCAA
RNAcentral lists this long non-coding RNA (1158 nucleotides) under Sinocyclocheilus grahami. Its description in RNAcentral is "lncRNA (ENSSGRG00000028662.1)". The record is from RNAcentral. Lineage: Eukaryota; Metazoa; Chordata; Actinopteri; Cypriniformes; Cyprinidae.